GGUCAUGAGCGCCAGCGACAAGCCCCGGCUUGCUGGCCGGCAACCCUCCAACCGCGGUGGGGUGCCCCGGGUGAUGACCAGGUUGAGUACCCACUGACAAGUGGUACCGGCAAGCGCGGGUC
This is a non-coding RNA of Mycobacterium sp., 122 nucleotides long. Lineage: Bacteria; Bacillati; Actinomycetota; Actinomycetes; Mycobacteriales; Mycobacteriaceae. The record is from Rfam.